This 1068-nucleotide long non-coding RNA is filed under the name Cricetulus griseus (Chinese hamster). RNAcentral's name for it is "lncRNA (ENSCGRG00015001555.2)". Lineage: Eukaryota; Metazoa; Chordata; Mammalia; Rodentia; Cricetidae. The record is from RNAcentral.
CUCCGGGGGGGGCUAACAGUUCCCUCCCUCCCGGGCACCGAGGCACAGUCACAUGCUGCUCACAAGCUUCUGUCCAGGGGAAAGCUGGCGGUGAGUGCUUGCUCUUUCCUCUUCAAUGAACCUGCUUUUCCAUCUUGGAAGAGGAUGAAAUGCACCUCUCAGAAUGCAAGUUUCCCUGCGGACACUAUCCCCAGUGGUGGAGUGAUGGAGAGAACUGAGAUGAGGUCAGGGAACAACUGAACUAAAAACUCACGAAAUGGAAGAUGGAGAAACAAACUCAGUGACAUGAAGUGACUCCAAAAACUUCCAGAAGGAGGGGAACGUAGCCUCGUAAUUGAGUACUUGCCUAGCAUGCAAGUUUCUAGGCUCAGUCCCCAGCAUGAUGGAGCAGGUUUGGAAGGAAUUUUCACAAGUCACAGAGGCCCUUGGAAAUGUGUUUCCUGGUGGGAAACACAAAGCUGUGAGACAUGAGAUGUUCUCACUCUGGGUGCGAGUGGAAGGUCCAAGGGGAGGAAAUACCCCUCGCACCCCCACAAAAGUGUUUCAAGAGCCAAGUGGAAGGAUGCAGAGGCACAGCAUAGGGCUUCACUGUGGCUAUCCUGUCUUCAAUGCUGGCUGGACUGGAGAAUUCCCAGAAUGCUCUUGGACAUUGGAGUACUUCCUGCAGAUGGGAGGAGGUGGUCUGCCUGGGAGAAGCAAGUCACCUGGGUCACAUGGCACUUGACCUUCAAGACUAAACGAGAAGGAACGCCUGGUAGGAUGGGUGCUGUUUUUACGAAGUCCAGGAGGUCAAGCAAUGAGCCAUUGGGGUGAAUCACCGAACAGAACACUAAAGGGAGACUUUUGUUCCAAUCAUGAGUUUAGAGGAGAGUCUUAAAAUGGUAAGGACAAGUAAAUAUGGGGCAAGAAGCAUAACCGAGCCAAGAAAUGCUGGAGCAGAUGACAACUGAACAGUAGAAACCAGGCAGAGGCCAGCCCUACAGGGCCAGGGAGGAAAGAAACAGCAGACUGGAGAAAACAAUAAAAAGGGAGAAAAAGAAAUAUGGAGAUGGGGAGGAUGAAAUGGAA